CCUACGGGAGGCAGCAGUGAGGAAUAUUGGUCAAUGGGCGGGAGCCUGAACCAGCCAAGCCGCGUGAGGGAAGAAGGUACAGCGUAUCGUAAACCUCUUUUGUCAGGGAACAAAGGCGGGGACUAGUCCCCGGAUGAGGGUACCUGAAGAAAAAGCACCGGCUAACUACGUGCCAGCAGCCGCGGUAAUACGUAGGGUGCGAGCGUUAAUCGGAAUUACUGGGCGUAAAGGGUGUGCAGGCGGCUGAGUAAGACAGAUGUGAAAUCCCCGGGCUUAACCUGGGAACCGCAUAUGUGACUGCUUGGCUAGAGUGCGUCAGAGGGAGGUGGAAUUCCACGUGUAGCAGUGAAAUGCGUAGAUAUGUGGAAGAACACCGAUGGCGAAGGCAGCCUCCUGGGACGCAACUGACGCUCAUACACGAAAGCGUGGGGAGCAAACAGGAUUAGAUACCCUUGUAGUC
RNAcentral lists this ribosomal RNA (460 nucleotides) under uncultured bacterium. RNAcentral's name for it is "partial 16S ribosomal RNA". It matches the Rfam family "Bacterial small subunit ribosomal RNA", at positions 338 to 795 of the family's 1533-position model. The record is from RNAcentral.